UUUUUGCAGCAGCUCUGAUAUAUCUGAGUAUACACCAUGGCCGUGUAGGUGGAAGCGGUGGAGGAGGAGGAGGUAGCCAACACUGUUUUUUAUUAUUUUAUUUUUUUUAAUUGGGGUAGCCCCCAAAAUAUUGGGACAUACAUACAUAUAAAAAAAGAAUAAAAAGAAUAAGUGCACUUGAGUACAACAAUGCCUGGGUGAGGCCGGUAUAAAUGUCUAUUUUGCACAAGGUACAGACAAGUCUGGUGGGGUCCAUGCCUGGUUCAUUUUAAUAAACAUGAGCUUGUCCACGUUGGCCCUGGAAAGGCGGCUGCGCUUGUCUGUGAUAACCUUGUGCCGAUCGCACGUCCCCGUGACGGCGACAACGCAUUCGGAUGUCUGCCCUAUCAACUUUCGAUGCAAUUUUCCUCGCCUACCAUGGUGACCACGGGUAACGGGGAAUCAGGGUUAGAUUCCAGAGAGGGAGCCUGAGAAACAGCUACCACAUGCAAGGAAGGCAGCAGGCGUGCAAAUACCCACCCCUGACGCGGGGUGAAGUAGUGACGACAAAAAACAAUACACUACUCUUUCGAGGCCCUGUAAUUGUAAUGAGUCCACUUUAAAUCCUUUAACUUGGAUCAAUUGGAGGGCAAGUCUGGUGCAGAGCAACUGACCCGUGCGUGCUGCAGCUGAAACUCCACU
This is a non-coding RNA of Pelobates cultripes (western spadefoot toad), 681 nucleotides long. The record is from the annotation of a GenBank genome assembly. NCBI's taxonomy places the organism in Eukaryota, Metazoa, Chordata, Amphibia, Anura, Pelobatidae.